Papaver somniferum (opium poppy) is the source of this 2381-nucleotide long non-coding RNA. RefSeq lists it as uncharacterized. Lineage: Eukaryota; Viridiplantae; Streptophyta; Magnoliopsida; Ranunculales; Papaveraceae. The transcript is spliced from 3 exons. The record is from RefSeq and is a predicted model, not a curated record.
CCUCCAAAUUCAUUCUCCCUCCCAAACUUAAAAUUAACAAAAUCUUCCCCCAUUUUUUCCCUCUAAUUUCAUCAUCUAAGAACAUAAGACACACAUCUAAAAAAAAUUCCUAUUUUUCUUAAAUAUUUGGGAAAUAAAAACCUCCAUUUUUCAGACAACUUUAAUACUUAUCCCAGUAGUCUCUCUCUCUCUAUUUUUUAACUCCAGAGCGAGAGUCGAGAGUUCUCUUUUCCUCAUCAUCUUCAAAUCUGCUUAGAUUCUAGGUUUAGCCUGAAAUUCUAGUCUUCGUUUCAAAUAAUCAAAACCCAUGUUCUAGAAAUCUUAUAAUCGAUUCAUUAGUUUAAAUCUUCCUAAACCCUAAUUCCAUAAAAUCAACUUUUUCUCUGAAACCUAAAAUUAAAUCAUUCAAUACAGCAGCAGUUUGUGGAAUAUCAUCAGGACUGAGUAUGAUAGAGGUGUAAAUGCUUCCAGGUUGAGUAGGCUAUUGAAGCAAUUAAGCUUGGAUUAACUGCAAUUGGAUUAAAGACUAAAGAAGGAGUAGUUCUUCUUGUCGAGAAUCGUAUCACUUGAUAUCAGCUCACACUAUUAGUAUCAAUUUUGUUUAAUGUGUUUUAGAGUAGAGUUUCCAAAUUAGGGUCUGCUACUUCCUUAUGUUUGAUGUCUGAGUACGCUGAAGUGAUUUUUUUUCUUCAAGAUUUCAAUUUUGUUUAAUGUGUUGUAGACUAGGAUUCACCACAUAAGCUAGUCUUGUGAUACCGAUUUGGGGUUGCUAUAUCAAAUUUGUGGUCUACAUAGUUGAUAGAUUUUUCCAUUCCAUCUUAACCAAGAAACACCACAAACAUUCUUAUCAUUAUAAAAAUUUAUUUUGAUUCCACAAACUAGGGUUACGGUUUAAUGCCACUGUGUAUAACUUAGAAUGUUCUGCAUUUGAUUGUAUCCAACACUGCAUUUGUAUUAUCGAACUGUCAAAUCUGGUGGGUGUUGUUAAAUGAAAGUAUUGAUGAUAAGAGAGUAAAGUGCAGUGCAGGGGUUGAUUUGAUGUGCCACUGCACUGAUAAAUUUUCUUAUCCAUUCAAAAGAGAAAACAGAACUUUGGACAAUGAAACCAAAAAACUUAUAUCAUAAGUGUAAAAGUUAUAAUAAAGUAUGAGAUGGACAUUUUUUUUUUCAUUUAGACUCUGAAUUUCUCUUCUUCUGAUUCUCAAUUUAAUCAUCAACUUUCAUUAGUCUUGUAAUUGUUGGUUCAGAUUUACAUCUUGUUAAUGUCAGUGGUACUCCUCCUUCCUUUUCUUUAUCAACUACUACUGUUGAUCCUACUUCAUCUUUGAUUACUGUACUGCUACUUCUUCUACUUGAUGAACUUUCACAUGACUCGAUCUUUUCCUCAUUAUCAGUUACUUGAUUUUCCAAUGUGGGUUUCUCAAUCUCUUGACUACUUUCAGUAUUGGUAAUGUAAUUUUGAUCUGUAGUAUUGUCACUAAAUCUACUUAACAUUGAGGAAUUUUUACAUGGAUCUGACCUGCAUCUCAUUAGAAACAAUGCAUUCUUUGGUGGUGAAUGUGAUUCUGCUAACUGUGAUUCUUUAGUAUUCAUGUAUGCCUGUUAUGUUUCAAUCAUGUUGAUGUAGUAGUAUGGUUGGGUGUUGGAGAAUCCCGUUGGCCUGUUAUGUUUCUUUUACCUUUGCACUGGGUAAUGUAGUAAUCCCGUUGGCCUUCUUACCUUUAGACUUAUGAAUUCCACGAUUAGCCAAAGCAUCUAGUGGAUACUUUGUUUUUUUUCCUAAUAAUUUGGUGUUCUGCUUGAAUGCAACUUCUUACUUAUUCUUUUUAUUGGCUGUUUACUUGUAAGGUACCGACGUAUUGACCCCGAAUUUGGAGAAUUCCAGUCGAUAUUUCAAGAUGAACCCCAUUUCAGAUCUUUGCUAGUAACACGCAUUAGUUAAAUGUUGAUUCUGUCGUAAUUGUAUUUUUGUUAUUGGGUCAGAAUGUAUCUUUGCUUUCAAUCACAACAAUUUCGUAAUGAUAUCAUGAUAUAUGCUUUCUGCUCUUUGUAGUUUGAUUUUUAUUGGGUCUGAAUAUUGCUCUUCUUCAGUUACUAAUACUUCAUAUUUCUAUUUGCAGAUUACUAAUACUUCAUAUUUGUAUUUGCAGUACAACAUGUCCAGCUCUUCUAGAGAUACAGCAUCACAACAAAACAAGUCCAGCUCUUUUUCAGUUUAACUAAAGUAUCGAUCGAAUUUGACGAAGGUUUGAAGCCUGUGUCCGAGAGUGCAACCAAAUUAGCUACUAGAGCAGGAGAGAUCAUAAGAUGUCACAUUCCUAUUAACUUCACUGACUGGAGACUCGUGCCUGAUAUUUUCAUAGAUGAUGUUUGGGAAGCUU